This 412-nucleotide ribosomal RNA is filed under the name uncultured bacterium. Its description in RNAcentral is "bacterial SSU rRNA". It matches the Rfam family "Bacterial small subunit ribosomal RNA", at positions 355 to 775 of the family's 1533-position model. The record is from RNAcentral.
UCGAGGAUCUUCGGCAAUGGGCGAAAGCCUGACCGAGCGACGCCGCGUGUGCGAUGAAGGCCUUCGGGUUGUAAAGCACUGUCGAGGGGGAGAAAGGCCGCAAGGCUUGAUCGACCUCUGGAGGAAGCUCGGGCUAAGUUCGUGCCAGCAGCCGCGGUAAGACGAACCGAGCGAACGUUAUUCGGAAUCACUGGGCUUAAAGGGUGCGUAGGCGGGCUCGUGAGUCAGGGGUGAAAUCCCACGGCCCAACCGUGGAAGUGCCUCUGAUACCGCGGGCCUAGAGGGGGACAGGGGCAUGCGGAACUUCCGGUGGAGCGGUGAAAUGCGUAGAUAUCGGAAGGAACACCGGUGGCGAAAGCGGCGUGCUGGAUCCCUACUGACGCUGAGGCACGAAAGCCAGGGGAGCAAACGG